Molecule: long non-coding RNA, 453 nt
Filed under: Mytilus galloprovincialis (Mediterranean mussel)
Lineage: Eukaryota; Metazoa; Mollusca; Bivalvia; Mytilida; Mytilidae
Source: RNAcentral
UUUUUUUUUUUACUAAAAGAGCGUUGGUGUUUUUAAUCAAUAUUAAUAUUAUCGUUUCUCUAUUACUUUUGUAGUAAGCCCUCUUUUCUUGGUAGUCUGCUCGAACUCCAAACAUACCCGAGUCAUUUACUCUCUCUUUGGAGUAUGCUCAUUUUCCUGGGUAUUUUGCUCCGACUGCAGAACUACUGCAAGACAUAAGCUCAUUUCAUAUUAUAUCACUUAAGUCAAAUAUGUUGUCUGUUUUACCAUGGUUAGUUUACUAAAACCUCUGAUUACAGUUAAGAUUUUGCAUUACAUGGAUAAGGAUUUGCCUAUGCUAGAAUAAUAUUAUGUUUGCUACAAUCAAGGUUUUACAUGAAGACUAGCUAGGUCAACAUAUUUAACAAUAAUUUAAUUAGGUGAUCAGCAAAAUUAAAUUCUUAUGAUUAAACUAACAUUAAAUUCUUGCACACA